This 465-nucleotide ribosomal RNA is filed under the name uncultured bacterium. RNAcentral's name for it is "partial 16S ribosomal RNA". It matches the Rfam family "Bacterial small subunit ribosomal RNA", at positions 28 to 507 of the family's 1533-position model. The record is from RNAcentral.
GACGAACGCUGGCGGCGUGCUUAACACAUGCAAGUCGUACGGUAAGGCCCUUUCGGGGGUACACGAGAGGCGAACGGGUGAGUAACACGUGAGUAACCUGCCCACAACUUUGGGAUAACGCUAGGAAACUGGUGCUAAUACUGGAUAUGUGCUCCUGCUGCAUGGUGGGGGUUGGAAAGCUCCGGCGGUUGUGGAUGGACUCGCGGCCUAUCAGCUUGUUGGUGGGGUAGUGGCCUACCAAGGCGGCGACGGGUAGCCGGCCUGAGAGGGUGACCGGCCACAUUGGGACUGAGAUACGGCCCAGACUCCUACGGGAGGCAGCAGGGGGGAAUAUUGCACAAUGGGCGCAAGCCUGAUGCAGCAACGCCGCGUGCGGGAGGACGGCCUUCGGGUUGUAAACCGCGUUCAGCAGGGACGAAGCUUUUUGUGACGGUACCUGCAGAAGAAGCACCGGCUAACUACGUG